UUUCUUCGGAAUGAACUUAAGUGGAUUAGUGGCGAACGGGUGAGUAACACGUGAGUAACCUGCCUUACACAAGGGGAUAGCCUCUGGAAACGGAGAAUAAUACCCUAUAAAGUCUAAUCAGCCCAUGCUGGAAAGACCAAAGAUUUAUCGGUGUAAGAUGGACUUGCGUCUGAUUAGCUAGUUGGUGAGAUAAAAGCUCACCAAGGCGACGAUCAGUAGCCGGCUUGAGAGAGUGUACGGCCACAUUGGGACUGAGACACGGCCCAAACUCCUACGGGAGGCAGCAGUGGGGAAUUUUGCACAAUGGGGGAAACCCUGAUGCAGCGACGCCGCGUGAUUUAGAAGGCCUUCGGGUUGUAAAAAUCUUUUUUACGGGAUGAAAAUGACAGUACCGUAAGAAUAAGGUCCGGCUAAAUACGUGCCAGCAGCCGCGGUAAUACGUAUGGACCGAGCGUUGUCCGGAAUCAUUGGGCGUAAAGGGUACGUAGGCGGCCUAGUAAGUUAGAAGUUAAAGAAUAUAGCUCAACUAUAUAAAGCUUUUAAAACUGCUAGGCUUGAGAGAUGGAAGGGAAAGUGGAAUUCCUAGUGUAGCGGUGAAAUGCGCAGAUAUUAGGAAGAAUACCGGUGGCGAAGGCGACUUUCUGGUCAUCAUCUGACGCUGAGGUACGAAAGCGUGGGUAGCAAACAGGAUUAGAUACCCUGGUAGUCCACGCUGUAAACGAUGAGUGUUAGGUUCUUGGAAUAAUCUGGGAGCCGCAGCUAACGCAUUAAACACUCCGCCUGGGGAGUACGCACGCAAGUGUG
Molecule: ribosomal RNA, 804 nt
Filed under: uncultured Clostridia bacterium
Lineage: Bacteria; Bacillati; Bacillota; Clostridia
Description: bacterial SSU rRNA
Rfam family: Bacterial small subunit ribosomal RNA
Source: RNAcentral